This 145-nucleotide unclassified non-coding RNA is filed under the name uncultured Hymenoscyphus. RNAcentral's name for it is "sequence contains ITS2". Lineage: Eukaryota; Fungi; Ascomycota; Leotiomycetes; Helotiales; Helotiaceae. The record is from RNAcentral.
UAACCACUCCCGCUUGCGGGGUCUUGGGUUUCGCCUCUGGGCGGGCCUUAAAAUCAGUGGCGGUGCCGUCUGGCUCUAAGCGUAGUAAAUUAUCCUCGCUAUAGGGUCCAGGUGGAUGCUUGCCAACAACCCCCAAAUUUUUUAA